This is a long non-coding RNA of Pongo pygmaeus (Bornean orangutan), 2525 nucleotides long. RefSeq lists it as uncharacterized. Lineage: Eukaryota; Metazoa; Chordata; Mammalia; Primates; Hominidae. The record is from RefSeq and is a predicted model, not a curated record. The transcript has 3 exons.
CUUGGUCCCAGCUAAACCAUCAGGCCCUAAGAGGAUAAGACAUCCCCUCCUCAUGAGGCCCCUCCUCCCUAGACCAUUUAUAAAAACCCUGACAUUUUUACUACUGCUUAGCAACCUGCUCGGGACCCCUUUCUGUGACUGUGAGCUGUUCUGUUCUUUUGCCUAUUAAAUUCCUGCUCCAAACUCACGCUAUGAGUGUGUGCGUGUCCUCGACCUCAAUAUCCUUGGUCGUGAGACCAAGAACCUCAGUAUUUACCCAAGACAACAAGGCUGCUUCAUUUUGAGGGCUCGUCUGGGAUUUGAAGGUGACUUCAUCAGAAGGUGUCUUGCCACUCUUGGUGCACCUAGAAUGACUUCCAGUGGCCUGGGACUCCUUGGGGAAACAGAAAAGGCACCACAAAUCCCAUUUUAGGAAAAAUCUGUUUUCCUCGGAGCCCCUGGAAUUGAAGGAAUCAAGCUUAACUUGCUGAGCCAAUAAAAGCCCCUGGGGAAAACUGGUCUCACACCUGUCUACACAGUCUCCAUACAGGGUUCCUGACCUGCGGUGAGUAAAGAAUGUCACUUUCUAACAGGCCUAGGAACCCCAUGCUUCUGGAACCUCAAGAAAGAAAAAAAUUUAUCCAACUCACAGGUAUUUAAAAGUACAAACCCAUGGCUGGGCUUGGCUUUAAAAAGUCCUAUCUAAAAUUCCUCAUGGAACAAGGUUCCAUCAAAGCCAAUCUAAGAGGCCUAUGUAAGGAUGAUUAUUCUUGCUGUACUUUACGCAAAUAAUUAGGCCAAGUAUAGGACUGAAGUCUGUUUUGCAAACAACUCAGUCCUAUCAUAGAUUAUUUUUAACAAAAAUGAGGACUAGAGAAAGAGAAAUUAUGUUUUAAAACUUAUCAUACAUCUGUUAUUAACCUGUAGUCUCAUCAGUUGUUUUUAAGUUCUUGCCUACAUUUUAAACUAAACCUGCUUAUUCCUGUCAACCAACCAGCAAUCUCCGGCUGCAGCUCAGAGAAAACAGAAAGCCAUGGGUAAUAGAAAAAUCUGGAAACAUGUUCUAGUUCUGGGCAAUUAUCCUACAAAUCCUGCCAGGUAAACUAUAACCCCAAAGUUUCCCUCUUUUUUGGGAAAGCAAGACCAAGAAAGCUAAACAAAGCCAAGCCCCAUAUACCCACUUACAACAGCAUAACCCAUCUGAAUGGCUCACAGGUAUCAAACAAACUCUGUUGUCAUGGUUAUGGCCUGUAGUGCCCCCACUAAUAAUAGUAAUCUUUUUUUUUUUUUUUUUUGAGAUGGAGUUUUGCUCUUGUUGCCCAGGCUGGAGUGCAAUGGCGCGAUUUCGGCUCACUGCAACCUCUGCUUCCUGGGUUCAAGCAAUUCUCCUGCUUCAGCUUCCUAAGUAGCUGGGAUUACAGGCACGCGCCACCAUGCUCGGUUGAUUUUUUAUUUUUAGUAGAGACGGGGUUUUGCCAUGUUGGCCAGGUUGGUUUUGAACCCCUGACCUCAGGUGAUCCACCAGCCUCGGCCUCCCAAAGUGCUAGGAUUACAGGCAUGAGCCACCAUGCCCGGCCAAUAAUAGUAAUCUUAAUACUCGUAUUUGGAACCUAUAUUCUAAACCUCCUUGUGAAGUUUAUCUCUUCUCGCUUAGAAACCAUCAAGCUUCAGAUGGUGCUGCAAAUGGAGCUGAAAAUGAAACUGCCCUCCUACAAGGGACCCUUAGAUCAACCCCAGGAGGAGCCCUAGCUGCUGUUUCCCACACAACGCCACUCUCCAGCAGGAAGUAGCCAGAAGAAAUCGUCACCCAGUUUCCCCUAGCAGCAGUUAUGGAUUCCAUUCCUCAGGGGGGAAAUAUGUUAUAGGAGGCAAAAAGAAAUUAUUUAGGUAGACAUUUAGGGUAAAGUGAGUCCCCAGCAGAAAACUUUCCUUUUAACAAAAAGCAGCUCAAAAAUAGCUCCCUUUCUAAACUCAUGCAGUUUAAAAAAAAAGCACUUCUCUUCUAACAACAAGCAGCCUGAAAGUUCAGGCUGUAAAACACAGAGAAGAUGGCUUGAGCACAGAAAGGGAGGGAGAAGUCUCCUGGGUAAUCACCAAACUUCACAUUUACACAGUGGGCCCCAGUAAAACAGUGGGUCUUAAUAAGCAUAUUCCUUCCCUUUAGGUGCAGUAAGAUAGAGGAGCUAAAAACAGACUUGGGGGGAUGUCUGCAGCUGCAAGAAGAUGUGUGGGAACAGACACAGAAACUCUCCCUCCCAGAUAAGCAAGACAAAGAAACACAGACUAAGAGUCCAUCUAUGUGGUCAGAGAAUGGGAUAAGAGCUGAUUAAAAAAAACUCUGCGCUAUACAGAUUGCACACCUGGUCCCAACCAAACCAUUGGACCCUAGGAGGAUAAGACAUCCUCUGCUCAUGAGCGCCCCCUUCAGUAGCCCAUUUAUAAAAACCCUGACAAUUUUACUACCACUUGGCAACCCGCUUGGGACCCCUCUCUGUGAUGGAGAGCUGUUCUUUUCUUUUGCCUAUUAAACUCCUGCUCCAAACUCA